UUAAAUUGAAGAGUUUGAUCAUGGCUCAGAUUGAACGCUGGCGGCAGGCCUAACACAUGCAAGUCGAACGGUAACAGGAAGCAGCUUGCUGCUUUGCUGACGAGUGGCGGACGGGUGAGUAAUGUCUGGGAAACUGCCUGAUGGAGGGGGAUAACUACUGGAAACGGUGGCUAAUACCGCAUAACGUCGCAAGACCAAAGAGGGGGACCUUCGGGCCUCUUGCCAUCAGAUGUGCCCAGAUGGGAUUAGCUUGUUGGUGAGGUAACGGCUCACCAAGGCGACGAUCCCUAGCUGGUCUGAGAGGAUGACCAGCCACACUGGAACUGAGACACGGUCCAGACUCCUACGGGAGGCAGCAGUGGGGAAUAUUGCACAAUGGGCGCAAGCCUGAUGCAGCCAUGCCGCGUGUAUGAAGAAGGCCUUCGGGUUGUAAAGUACUUUCAGCGGGGAGGAAGGUGUUGUGGUUAAUAACCGCAGCAAUUGACGUUACCCGCAGAAGAAGCACCGGCUAACUCCGUGCCAGCAGCCGCGGUAAUACGGAGGGUGCAAGCGUUAAUCGGAAUUACUGGGCGUAAAGCGCACGCAGGCGGUCUGUCAAGUCGGAUGUGAAAUCCCCGGGCUCAACCUGGGAACUGCAUUCGAAACUGGCAGGCUUGAGUCUUGUAGAGGGGGGUAGAAUUCCAGGUGUAGCGGUGAAAUGCGUAGAGAUCUGGAGGAAUACCGGUGGCGAAGGCGGCCCCCUGGACAAAGACUGACGCUCAGGUGCGAAAGCGUGGGGAGCAAACAGGAUUAGAUACCCUGGUAGUCCACGCCGUAAACGAUGUCUACUUGGAGGUUGUGCCCUUGAGGCGUGGCUUCCGGAGCUAACGCGUUAAGUAGACCGCCUGGGGAGUACGGCCGCAAGGUUAAAACUCAAAUGAAUUGACGGGGGCCCGCACAAGCGGUGGAGCAUGUGGUUUAAUUCGAUGCAACGCGAAGAACCUUACCUGGUCUUGACAUCCACAGAAGAAUCCAGAGAUGGAUUUGUGCCUUCGGGAACUGUGAGACAGGUGCUGCAUGGCUGUCGUCAGCUCGUGUUGUGAAAUGUUGGGUUAAGUCCCGCAACGAGCGCAACCCUUAUCCUUUGUUGCCAGCGAUUAGGUCGGGAACUCAAAGGAGACUGCCAGUGAUAAACUGGAGGAAGGUGGGGAUGACGUCAAGUCAUCAUGGCCCUUACGACCAGGGCUACACACGUGCUACAAUGGCGCAUACAAAGAGAAGCGACCUCGCGAGAGCAAGCGGACCUCAUAAAGUGCGUCGUAGUCCGGAUUGGAGUCUGCAACUCGACUCCAUGAAGUCGGAAUCGCUAGUAAUCGUGGAUCAGAAUGCCACGGUGAAUACGUUCCCGGGCCUUGUACACACCGCCCGUCACACCAUGGGAGUGGGUUGCAAAAGAAGUAGGUAGCUUAACCUUCGGGAGGGCGCUUACCACUUUGUGAUUCAUGACUGGGGUGAAGUCGUAACAAGGUAACCGUAGGGGAACCUGCGGUUGGAUCACCUCCUUA
This 1544-nucleotide ribosomal RNA is filed under the name Salmonella enterica subsp. enterica serovar Dublin str. CT_02021853. Its description in RNAcentral is "16S ribosomal RNA". It matches the Rfam family "Bacterial small subunit ribosomal RNA". The record is from RNAcentral. Lineage: Bacteria; Pseudomonadati; Pseudomonadota; Gammaproteobacteria; Enterobacterales; Enterobacteriaceae.